GCCUGGCCAAGUCUCACUACCACCACACAUGGAGGCCCCAAUCGAACAAAUGGAUAGACAGGGCCAUGAGUCCAGGUUCUAUCCCCCCUACACCCUUUUUAGUGGGAAAAGACUGCUUUGGGCUGGGCGUGUGGUAGCCACUGGAUUGAUGGACUGGUGGAUAACACCUACUCAAUUAUUGGGGUGGUUGUGAAGAUUA
RNAcentral lists this long non-coding RNA (199 nucleotides) under Elaeis guineensis (African oil palm). RNAcentral describes it as "long non-coding RNA (EGUI_LNC030792)". Lineage: Eukaryota; Viridiplantae; Streptophyta; Magnoliopsida; Arecales; Arecaceae. The record is from RNAcentral.